RNAcentral lists this ribosomal RNA (700 nucleotides) under uncultured bacterium. RNAcentral describes it as "bacterial SSU rRNA". It matches the Rfam family "Bacterial small subunit ribosomal RNA", at positions 56 to 749 of the family's 1533-position model. The record is from RNAcentral.
UGCAAGUCGUGGGGCAGCGCAGUGUAGCAAUACAUGGGCGGCGACCGGCAAACGGGUGCGUAACACGUACGCAACCUUCCCGUUACUGUGGCAUAGCCCAGGGAAACUUGGAUUAAUACCACAUAUUACAUAGAGGCGGCAUCGUCUUUAUGUCAAAGCUUCGGCGGUAACGGAUGGGCGUGCGGUUGAUUAGGUAGUUGGCGGGGUAACGGCCCACCAAGCCUACGAUCAAUAGCUGAUGUGAGAGCAUGAUCAGCCACACGGGCACUGAGACACGGGCCCGACUCCUACGGGAGGCAGCAGUAAGGAAUAUUGGGCAAUGGACGCAAGUCUGACCCAGCCAUGCCGCGUGAAGGAUUAAGGUCCUCUGGAUUGUAAACUUCUUUUCUCUGGGGCGAAAACCAGCUAUUCUUAGCUAGUUGACAGUACCAGAGGAAUAAGCACCGGCUAACUCCGUGCCAGCAGCCGCGGUAAUACGGAGGGUGCAAGCGUUAUCCGGAUUCACUGGGUUUAAAGGGUGCGUAGGUGGGCUAGUAAGUCCGUGGUGAAAUCCCCGAGCUUAACUUGGGAACUGCCAUUGAUACUAUUAGUCUCGAAUAUCGUGGAGGUAAGCGGAAUAUGUCAUGUAGCGGUGAAAUGCUUAGAUAUGACAUAGAACACCAAUUGCGAAGGCAGCUUGCUACACGGUCAUUGACACUGA